GACCCUUCCCAGCCAACAUGAGGUGGAUGGUGUCCUCUGUUGCUUGCCUUACCACAGGUCCCAAAGAAUCAGGCCAAUUGUGGACUGAAACCUCCACAACCAUGAGUCAAAAGAAAUGUCCCCUUUUAAGGUGCAUACCAAAGGAGGAACUCACAAGUGGGCCCCGGGAAGAGUAAGAUCACUUCGAUGGACCAGGUCUGAUCCUGGCAGGCAUGGCCAUGGGACCAAAUUCCAGCUGGAGAAUCAGAGAUUGAGGAGAUGUGUGCAAGUUUCUGGACAGAUAAUUAAACGGAGGGUUUGCCUUGACUGUCUUUUUAUCUCUCAUUGUGCACAGGAUUAGAAUACAAAGACAGGAGCCCUGUCAUUGGACAGUGCAGCCUUCUCUUGAACAAUGGGGUUGAACCCUGAAGAUGAAAAUCUAAUGAACUAGAAGGAACUCAAGGCAUCAGUAAUAUGUAUACCUCAACUGCCUUACAUCACCCUGCCUUUCUGGCAGGGUCAGAGAAAUGCAGGCUCUCUUAUUCAGUAUUGUAUUCAUUGUCUGUUGCUUGCAGUCAUCCUUUUUGCUCAAAGGACACACUAAGUAUUUAGUAUGUGGUAGGUAUGACUCCUGUAUAUUUUGGAGAAUUUUACUCCCCCCAUCAUCACAAGUAGAGAAGAACUUGCAGAGGACUUUCUGUAA
This 682-nucleotide long non-coding RNA is filed under the name Cricetulus griseus (Chinese hamster). RNAcentral describes it as "lncRNA (ENSCGRG00015038059.1)". The record is from RNAcentral. Lineage: Eukaryota; Metazoa; Chordata; Mammalia; Rodentia; Cricetidae.